AAAGCUUGCUUCUUUGCUGGCGACCGGCGCACGGGUGAGUAACACGUAUCCAACCUGCCCUUUACUCGGGGAUAGCCUUUCGAAAGAAAGAUUAAUACCCGAUAGUAUAUAUUUCCCGCAUGGGUUUUAUAUUAAAGAAAUUCGGUAUGAGAUGGGGAUGCGUUCCAUUAGUUUGUUGGGGGGGUAACGGCCCACCAAGACUACGAUGGAUAGGGGUUCUGAGAGGAAGGUCCCCCACAUUGGAACUGAGACACGGUCCAA
This 261-nucleotide ribosomal RNA is filed under the name uncultured bacterium. Its description in RNAcentral is "partial 16S ribosomal RNA". It matches the Rfam family "Bacterial small subunit ribosomal RNA", at positions 75 to 334 of the family's 1533-position model. The record is from RNAcentral.